UACAGAGGUGGCAAGCGUUGUUCGGAAUUACUGGGCGUAAAGGGCGCGUAGGCGGUCUUGUCAGUCCCUUGUGAAAUCCCCCGGCUCAACUGGGGAACUGCAAGGGAAACAGCAGGGCUUGAGUUCGGGAGAGGGAAGCGGAAUUCCGGGUGUAGCGGUGAAAUGCGUAGAUAUCCGGAGGAACACCGGUGGCGAAGGCGGCAUCCUGGACCAAUACUGACGCUGAGGAGCGAAAGCCAGGGGAGCAAACAGG
RNAcentral lists this ribosomal RNA (253 nucleotides) under uncultured bacterium. RNAcentral's name for it is "partial 16S ribosomal RNA". It matches the Rfam family "Bacterial small subunit ribosomal RNA", at positions 524 to 776 of the family's 1533-position model. The record is from RNAcentral.